This is a long non-coding RNA of Grus americana (Whooping crane), 775 nucleotides long. RefSeq lists it as uncharacterized. The transcript has 3 exons. The record is from RefSeq and is a predicted model, not a curated record. NCBI's taxonomy places the organism in Eukaryota, Metazoa, Chordata, Aves, Gruiformes, Gruidae.
UCAGGCCUCUGCACGGCAGGCCGAAGAAUCCGACUCCGAGUGGCUGAGGAAAAGGGAUGGGCGAGAGGAAGGCGUUUCCAAGGAGGGCUUCAUCACAGCGGAGGUUGACACCGGGCGGCACGUCGGCGACCGGCGACGCUCUGUCUUGUGAGGGAUGAAGCGGAACCUGGCGGAUGGGGGAGCGUCCCGGUUAGAUGACCUUUUCCCCAUGAGAAGGGAAUCUGGAUUCUGCCCUCUGAAAGGUGCCACGGCACGAUUUGGAUUCCCGCACGACACCCUCGAGUGAGGUUUUUGUGGAGUAUCCAAGUAACAGCGAAGGAGCGGUGCAGUUAGCAAGGCAUCUUCCCUGGUCCCUGCCUAUGAGCGCUAACUCUACAGAGUCAGGCGGAGCGGCGAUGCUGUCUUAAGGGACAGGGUGAGGCCGUUCCACAGAUGGGCCAAGAAUCGGGGCCGUGGCCCGUUGUGGCGGGUGGGUGGCAGAACGGAUGUGCGUUUGGGCAGGGAAUCAGAGUAGCUAUCCAGGUGACUGCAAGCUGCAUGUGUUUGGCCGGGGGUUUGAAUCGGAGGAUCCAGAUUCCAUUGUAGUAGAAAGCUCUGGAAUGAGAAAAAUGUUAAGCGAAGCAGGAGAGAUUGACUGUCAAUGUGCCUGAGCUAAUAACUGUCAUUGCUCUGAGUCCUUGCUGUGGUGAUAGUGCAUCACUGGAAACCUAUGUAUUAAUGCCUAAUGUUGUUGUUCUUUAAAGAAAGUAACAAUAAAGGUAAAGUAAUAAAGAAU